Long non-coding RNA from Thalassophryne amazonica, 89 nucleotides. RefSeq lists it as uncharacterized. The record is from RefSeq and is a predicted model, not a curated record. NCBI's taxonomy places the organism in Eukaryota, Metazoa, Chordata, Actinopteri, Batrachoidiformes, Batrachoididae. The transcript has 3 exons.
UGUGCAAGUACGUAACCUCAUGAUCACGUGUCCUAUAUUGACCAAUGACAGAGACGCUACAUAGCAAUAGAAGUGACAAGGAGAGAGCA